Molecule: ribosomal RNA, 679 nt
Filed under: uncultured bacterium
Lineage: Bacteria
Description: bacterial SSU rRNA
Rfam family: Bacterial small subunit ribosomal RNA
Source: RNAcentral
UUGCUUUCUCAGCGAGUGGCGAACGGGUGAGUAACGCGUGAGGAACCUGCCUCAAAGAGGGGGACAACAGUUGGAAACGACUGCUAAUACCGCAUAAGCCCACGACCCGGCAUCGGGUAGAGGGAAAAGGAGCAAUCCGCUUUGAGAUGGCCUCGCGUCCGAUUAGCUAGUUGGUGAGGUAAUGGCCCACCAAGGCGACGAUCGGUAGCCGGACUGAGAGGUUGAACGGCCACAUUGGGACUGAGACACGGCCCAGACUCCUACGGGAGGCAGCAGUGGGGAAUAUUGCACAAUGGGGGAAACCCUGAUGCAGCGACGCCGCGUGGAGGAAGAAGGUCUUCGGAUUGUAAACUCCUGUUGUUGAGGAAGAUAAUGACGGUACUCAACAAGGAAGUGACGGCUAACUACGUGCCAGCAGCCGCGGUAAAACGUAGGUCACAAGCGUUGUCCGGAAUUACUGGGUGUAAAGGGAGCGCAGGCGGGAAGACAAGUUGGAAGUGAAAUCCAUGGGCUCAACCCAUGAACUGCUUUCAAAACUGUUUUUCUUGAGUAGUGCAGAGGUAGGCGGAAUUCCCGGUGUAGCGGUGGAAUGCGUAGAUAUCGGGAGGAACACCAGUGGCGAAGGCGGCCUACUGGGCACCAACUGACGCUGAGGCUCGAAAGUGUGGGUAGCAAACAG